AGUGAACGCUGGCGGUAGGCCUUACACAUGCAAGUCGAACGGCAGCACGGUAUGACCUUGCUCUUACGGGUGGCGAGUGGCAGACGGGUGUGGUAUACAUCGGCAUCUACUUUUUCGUGGGGGAUAACGUAGGGAAACUUACGCUAAUCCCGCAUACGACCUACGGGUGAAAGCAGGGGAUCUUCGGCCCUUGCGCGAUUGAAUGAGCCGAUGUCGGAUUAGCUAGUUGGCGGGGUAAAGGCCCACCAAGGCGACGAUCCGUAGCUGGUCUGAGAGGAUGAUCAGCCACACUGGAACUGAGACACGGUCCAGACUCCUACGGGAGGCAGCAGUGGGGAAUAUUGGACAAUGGGCGCAAGCCUGAUCCAGCCAUACCGCGUGGGUGAAGAAGGCCUUCGGGUUGUAAAGCCCUUUUGUCGGGAAAGAAAAGCAUCUGGUUAAUACCCCGCUGUGAUGACGGUACCCAAAGAAUAAGCACCGGCUAACUUCGUG
This 492-nucleotide ribosomal RNA is filed under the name uncultured bacterium. RNAcentral's name for it is "partial 16S ribosomal RNA". It matches the Rfam family "Bacterial small subunit ribosomal RNA", at positions 29 to 507 of the family's 1533-position model. The record is from RNAcentral.